RNAcentral lists this long non-coding RNA (740 nucleotides) under Setaria viridis. RNAcentral describes it as "long non-coding RNA (SVIR_LNC001293)". Lineage: Eukaryota; Viridiplantae; Streptophyta; Magnoliopsida; Poales; Poaceae. The record is from RNAcentral.
AGCUGUUCACAAUCACCCAAACCAAACAGAAAAUGAUGACGCCUGCUGCUACCACGCCGUGUGCUGGCCCUUAUGAGCGAUGACUGGUGAUGCUAUAUCCUUAGGCGGAAGCGGUACCCCCGCCGUGCUCAGCAACCUUCGCCAGGAGGUCGUCCUUCCUGGCGCCGACAAUUUUGUGGACUUCCUUGCCCUCCUUGAUGAGGAGGAAGGUCGGCAUCGCCUCGACCUUGUAUUCAGCGGCGACUUCCUGUUGAACAAGGAAACAGCGUUAGUACGACGUUACAGGGCAAGGGCAAGUGUUUUGGAGAACUAUCGGUACACCGUGCUCACCUUCAGCUCGUCAACGUCCACCUUGAGGAAGACAACGUGGGGAUAACUCUUGGCGAGUUCAGCAAAAACUGGGGCAAUGAUGCGGCAAGGACCACACCAGGAGGCAGUGAAGUCGAUGACCACCUGGGGUGCAAAAAAGUUGACAAAUGCCCCAAAGUUAGCAGCAGUAUAACUGGGUGUGGCACAGAUCAACUAUGCCAUCAGAGGAAAAUAACAUAGCAAAACUCAACUGUGGUUGAGUAAGACUAUGGAGCAUUUGCUUGUGCACAAAUGCCCAUGCCCCACGAAGAUUACAAACCAGUCAUACCAAGAAAAAAAAAAGUAUAAAGCCAGCCUAUCGCCCUUGAAUUCUAUCCAAUUUCAACGACUUCCAUACGCAACAAUUCUUCCCUAAUCUCAAAUAAUUUCCC